This 497-nucleotide ribosomal RNA is filed under the name uncultured bacterium. Its description in RNAcentral is "partial 16S ribosomal RNA". It matches the Rfam family "Bacterial small subunit ribosomal RNA", at positions 28 to 507 of the family's 1533-position model. The record is from RNAcentral.
GACGAACGCUGGCGGCGUGCCUAAUACAUGCAAGUUGAGCGCUGAAGGUUGGUCCUUGUACCAACUGGAUGAGCAGCGAACGGGUGAGUAACGCGUGGGGAAUCUGCCUUUGAGCGGGGGACAACAUUUGGAAACGAAUGCUAAUACCGCAUAAAAACUUUAAACACAAGUUUUAAGUUUGAAAGAUGCAAUUGCAUCACUCAAAGAUGAUCCCGCGUUGUAUUAGCUAGUUGGUGAGGUAAAGGCUCACCAAGGCGAUGAUACAUAACCGACCUGGAAGGGGUGUCGGCCACAUUGGGAAUGAGACACGGCCCAAACUCCUACGGGAGGCAGCAGUAGGGAAUCUUCGGCAAUGGACGAAAGUCUGACCGAGCAACGCCGCGUGAGUGAAGAAGGGUUUCGGAUCGUAAAACUCUGUUGGUAGAGAAGAACGUUGGUGAGAGUGGAAAGCUCAUCAAGUGACGGUAACUACCCAGAAAGGGACGGCUAACUACGUG